GCUUAAAUAAUUUAAUUAAAAUAUUGGUCUUGUAAACCAAAAUUAAGGUAACCCCUUCUAAGCU
RNAcentral lists this transfer RNA (64 nucleotides) under Sambus femoralis. Its description in RNAcentral is "tRNA-Thr". It matches the Rfam family "tRNA". From Rfam's summary of the family: Transfer RNA (tRNA) molecules are approximately 80 nucleotides in length. Their secondary structure includes four short double-helical elements and three loops (D, anti-codon, and T loops). Lineage: Eukaryota; Metazoa; Arthropoda; Insecta; Coleoptera; Buprestidae. The record is from RNAcentral.